Molecule: long non-coding RNA, 1195 nt
Organism: Cyprinus carpio carpio
Lineage: Eukaryota; Metazoa; Chordata; Actinopteri; Cypriniformes; Cyprinidae
Source: Ensembl
AUGAUUCUUCUGCACAAUCUGACUUUGCUGCAGCCUGGAAUUGAACUGCUGGUUUUUUUCUCCAUUCUGUCACCAAUGGAGUUUUGGUUCCUUGCUGUUGUCGCCUAUGGCUUGCUUAGUUGUGGACACUUCAUUUACAGUGAUAUUGUUGACUUGAUUGCAAAUGAUUGCACAGAUACUAUUUAAACUGAACUGAGCUGGGCCGGGUUUCCCGAUAACGAUUGAUCUUAGCGCUUAAGAGCAAUUUCGACGAGUAAUUUUAUGAUCGUUCAUUAUUGUUUCACGUGUGUUUCCCAACAAUGCCUGUAAAGCAAUCACACGUAGCUGUGCUUUAAGUGCUACUUAGGAGUCGCUAUCCAUUUGUCAAGUGCUGAAAUGUCACCUUAUAGAAUGGCUCUUAAUUGUAAUACAUGAUCGUUUAUUGACGUUAACCUAAUGCUGCGUUCCAGACAGACAACUUGGAUAUAAUAACUAUAAUGCAAUACAAUAUUGUAUUAUAUUAUAGUGUAUAAUAUUAUACUUUACAUAAUAAUAUAUAAUGUACUUUAUAUACAGUAGAGAGAGAGAGAGAGAGAGAGAGAGAGAGAGAGAGAGAGAGACGUUAUUUCCGGGUCUAAUACAUAGCUGGUUUUCGUGCACUUCAGCAAGUCAUUGACAUAAUUUUUCCCCCAGUCUUUGAAGCAUUUCCUACAUUACUUCUUAAGAUCAGCCGUACGAUUGUUUUUACGAACUUCUUAGGCUUAUGAAGCUUUUGGGAAACUCAGCCCUGAAUGAUGACAUCACUGAAUUCAAUGAUGAACUGCUUUAACUGUCAUUUUGCAUUAUUGACACACUAUUUUCCUAAUUAAUGUUGUUCAGUUGCUUUGACACAAUCUGUUUUGUAUAAAGCGCUAUAUAAAUAAAGGUGACUUGACUUGACUCGACAAAAUAUCAAUUUCAGUCAGUUUGCAAACAUCCCUUUGCGUUCUCCAUUCCGUGAACAACUUCAACACGUGACUGACUUGCAGUUAACACUGUGGCCCUGCGGCGGCGGUAGCAGGCAUUUUGGUUGGCCACCUACUGUAAUUUCAGACCCUAAAAAUGCAAGUCCUGAAAAUACAAGGCAUGAAAAUGCAAGCACUGUUAAUGCAAUGCAUUUUUUUUCAGUUAGUACAAUUCAACAUGCUUUUUUGUUUCAAAGACAUUUGUCAUUAUU